UGGCUCAGGAUGAACGCUGGCGGCGUGCCUAAUACAUGCAAGUCGAACGAACUCUGGUAUUGAUUGGUGCUUGCAUCAUGAUUUACAUUUGAGUGAGUGGCGAACUGGUGAGUAACACGUGGGAAACCUGCCCAGAAGCGGGGGAUAACACCUGGAAACAGAUGCUAAUACCGCAUAACAACUUGGACCGCAUGGUCCGAGCUUGAAAGAUGGCUUCGGCUAUCACUUUUGGAUGGUCCCGCGGCGUAUUAGCUAGAUGGUGGGGUAACGGCUCACCAUGGCAAUGAUACGUAGCCGACCUGAGAGGGUAAUCGGCCACAUUGGGACUGAGACACGGCCCAAACUCCUACGGGAGGCAGCAGUAGGGAAUCUUCCACAAUGGACGAAAGUCUGAUGGAGCAACGCCGCGUGAGUGAAGAAGGGUUUCGGCUCGUAAAACUCUGUUGUUAAAGAAGAACAUAUCUGAGAGUAACUGUUCAGGUAUUGACGGUAUUUAACCAGAAAGCCACGGCUAACUACGUGCCAGCAGCCGCGGUAAUACGUAGGUGGCAAGCGUUGUCCGGAUUUAUUGGGCGUAAAGCGAGCGCAGGCGGUUUUUUAAGUCUGAUGUGAAAGCCUUCGGCUCAACCGAAGAAGUGCAUCGGAAACUGGGAAACUUGAGUGCAGAAGAGGACAGUGGAACUCCAUGUGUAGCGGUGAAAUGCGUAGAUAUAUGGAAGAACACCAGUGGCGAAGGCGGCUGUCUGGUCUGUAACUGACGCUGAGGCUCGAAAGUAUGGGUAGCAAACAGGAUUAGAUACCCUGGUAGUCCAUACCGUAAACGAUGAAUGCUAAGUGUUGGAGGGUUUCCGCCCUUCAGUGCUGCAGCUAACGCAUUAAGCAUUCCGCCUGGGGAGUACGGCCGCAAGGCUGAAACUCAAAGGAAUUGACGGGGGCCCGCACAAGCGGUGGAGCAUGUGGUUUAAUUCGAAGCUACGCGAAGAACCUUACCAGGUCUUGACAUACUAUGCAAAUCUAAGAGAUUAGACGUUCCCUUCGGGGACAUGGAUACAGGUGGUGCAUGGUUGUCGUCAGCUCGUGUCGUGAGAUGUUGGGUUAAGUCCCGCAACGAGCGCAACCCUUAUUAUCAGUUGCCAGCAUUAAGUUGGGCACUCUGGUGAGACUGCCGGUGACAAACCGGAGGAAGGUGGGGAUGACGUCAAAUCAUCAUGCCCCUUAUGACCUGGGCUACACACGUGCUACAAUGGAUGGUACAACGAGUUGCGAACUCGCGAGAGUAAGCUAAUCUCUUAAAGCCAUUCUCAGUUCGGAUUGUAGGCUGCAACUCGCCUACAUGAAGUCGGAAUCGCUAGUAAUCGCGGAUCAGCAUGCCGCGGUGAAUACGUUCCCGGGCCUUGUACACACCGCCCGUCACACCAUGAGAGUUUGUAACACCCAAAGUCGGUGG
RNAcentral lists this ribosomal RNA (1447 nucleotides) under Lactiplantibacillus plantarum. RNAcentral's name for it is "bacterial SSU rRNA". It matches the Rfam family "Bacterial small subunit ribosomal RNA". Lineage: Bacteria; Bacillati; Bacillota; Bacilli; Lactobacillales; Lactobacillaceae. The record is from RNAcentral.